This 253-nucleotide ribosomal RNA is filed under the name uncultured bacterium. RNAcentral describes it as "partial 16S ribosomal RNA". It matches the Rfam family "Bacterial small subunit ribosomal RNA", at positions 524 to 776 of the family's 1533-position model. The record is from RNAcentral.
UACGAGGGGGGCGAGCGUUGUUCGGAAUUACUGGGCGUAAAGCGUGCGUAGACGGCUAUCUAAGUCGGGUGUGAAAGCCCCGGGCUCAACCUGGGAAUUGCAUUCGAGACUGAAUAGCUAGGGUGCGGUAGAGGGAAGCGGAAUUUCCGGUGUAGCGGUGAAAUGCGUAGAUAUCGGAAGGAACAUCAGUGGCGAAAGCGGCUUCCUGAACCAGCACCGACGUUCAGGCACGAAAGCGUGGGGAGCAAACAGG